AGGGCUGUAGCUCAGUGAUAGAGCACAUGCUUUGCAAGCAGGAGGUUCCAAGUUCAAACCCUAUAGCAGGCUUA
Molecule: non-coding RNA, 74 nt
Organism: Phrynosoma platyrhinos (Desert horned lizard)
Lineage: Eukaryota; Metazoa; Chordata; Lepidosauria; Squamata; Phrynosomatidae
Source: the annotation of a GenBank genome assembly